UGGAAAAAAGAUCUGUGGAAGAAUAUAGUGUCGUGCUAGGGUUAAUACCUCCCCUAGACUUAUGGAGAAGAAGCAUAGGGAGAGAGAAAGAGAGAAGCUUGAAGAGAACCUAGGGUUGGCUUGAUUAAAAAAGAUGGAGGCCUUGGGGUUCUAUUUAUAGAGUGGGAAGGCUAGAGUUUCAUGAAAAGAGAGGUGGGAGCGUGAAUAAG
RNAcentral lists this long non-coding RNA (209 nucleotides) under Elaeis guineensis (African oil palm). RNAcentral's name for it is "long non-coding RNA (EGUI_LNC056667)". The record is from RNAcentral. Lineage: Eukaryota; Viridiplantae; Streptophyta; Magnoliopsida; Arecales; Arecaceae.